CCCCUCUCUGCCCUCCCAGGCGCCUGCUUGCGUCACCUACCAAGCUCCACAAGCUUCAGCUAAGGAGUCCCCCAGGCCCCCCAUGUGGGAGGGUGAAAACGACAUCUGUGAAGCAAAUGACCGAAGUAUCUCUCUGAGCAAGGAGGCUGUGCACCGAGAUCGCGGGUCAACCAAGGAUGGUCACCGCUCUCCACGUGGAAGCUCUGACCCACCCACCACGGGGCCAGAAUCAAAGAGAUGAGGAGGAAAUGCUGCUGGCUUAGAAUCUCGGAUGUGGAAGCAAAACUACAACAAAAGGCAAGCACAUCAGGGGGAAAAAUGCAGAGGAAGAAAGAUGCCAAAGACAAUGUUUUCUUUUGGAAUAUGUCAUCCUUGGCCCUGAUAAUGUGCACGACUGAAGAAGAUGUGAAGCAG
This 414-nucleotide long non-coding RNA is filed under the name Neogale vison (American mink). Its description in RNAcentral is "Neovison vison (American mink) lncRNA (ENSNVIG00000002278.1)". Lineage: Eukaryota; Metazoa; Chordata; Mammalia; Carnivora; Mustelidae. The record is from RNAcentral.